Molecule: long non-coding RNA, 33859 nt
Filed under: Lactuca sativa (garden lettuce)
Lineage: Eukaryota; Viridiplantae; Streptophyta; Magnoliopsida; Asterales; Asteraceae
Description: long non-coding RNA (LSAT_LNC001821)
Rfam family: tRNA (bases 33478-33569)
Source: RNAcentral
ACAGAGGGGCUUGUCGUGCCUCCAACUAGUAUGGUUUUUUAUUUUUUAUUUUUUAUUUUUUUGUUUUUUUUGUUUUCUUGGAUUUUUAAAAGUUUGUGCAAUACAACUAAAAGCUAUUAGGCUUUGAUACCACUUUUGGAUUUUACUAACAUCUAUACAUUAUCUUAAGGCAACAUAAACAAUACAAGAUUUACAUAAGUGUACAUACACUAUAAGAUUUAGGUUUUACUAGUUAUAGCAACGAGUUUUAAAAGCUAAAAGAAAAACAUACUAACCUCUUGGUUUCUUGCUUGAGAUCUUGUAAAUGUCAAUGAUUGCAGUGGAUGAAGGAUCCAAAGUAGUCACCAUCUAAUGUAGUCAGACCCACAAACUCCAUAAGCAAAAUAUAAAGAACCUUAGAUUGGGGUUUAGUCGAAAUUCUCUAACCCUAUGAGAGAGGUUAGAAAUUUCAUAUGGAGGAGAGAGAGAGAGAGAAAGAGGAAAGAGUGUGUGUGUGUGUGUAACGCCCUGUUUCAAAUCGUUUUCCAUUUCGAGGUGAUGAUCAAGGAUUGGGUAUUAGCAGAAUUAGGACCCUUGAAGAAUUGAGAUCUAGACUCAUUAGGAGGUGGAUGAUGUAACUAGCAGAAUUAAAACCCUAUAAAUCGCACCUUAGCCUCCAUGGUGGUGUUUUUGAGCUCAUUGUGUGCAUAUUGGUGUGUUUUGGUUCAUAUUCAAGAAGAUGGAGUUUGGUGCAAGGUUGUGGAUCAAGGAAGAGCUUAUGGAUCCUGAUUCUCUACUUCAUUUCCUACUUGUUUGAGGUAAAAAGCUAUGAACUUGUUCAUUACUGGCUUAAAUCUAUUAUAUAUGAGUUUUGGUUCCUUUUUGGCCCCAAGAAUGGGAUCUAGUAGUUUGAUACCACUCCAGGAGCUAUGAGUUGCCACUCUUGGUGUUUCCGAGGUUCUAGAUUCAUAAAGUUGUCUCCAUUAGGGUUUGGAAUCCCCCAUGCAUGAGAUUGUGUCCAUUUAGUGAAAGUAUAAUGCUAUAUCUUGAAGUUGGGUCCUUUUGGCGCAUGCAAAGUCACCAAGUCAGUGCCUUUAUGGUUCUAGACUCUUAUUAGGACUCAGAUAUGUGGUUUAGACUUCUAGAUUUAAGCAUUAAGAGCUUAAUGAAGAGUUUGACUUAAUGGAUGAGUACGCUGAACGUACAAGUAUGUACGCGCAACGUAUGACAUCCCCAUUUUCACGGCCAGAAAAGACCGAUUUUGUUUAUGCUUUAUAAAAAUCAGAGUACCCCUUUUUAAUAAAAAUGUGCGGAAUUUGUUCCCAGUGAAACAUGAUGAAUACGUUAUCAGGGAAUUUCCGAAGAAAAGUAUUUUUAUUCAUUUUAAAACAUUCGGGAUGUCAUCGUCAAUACAUAAACAUAAGCAUAAAUAGAACUUACAUUCAUUUACACUAGUGAUUUAUAUCUCCUUAAUCUCUCAGUGUAAUGUAACUUCAUAUCGACACCUGUGAUACAAAUAAACUGAGUGGGUCAGGUUGGGAAACCUGGUGAGUACAUAGGGUUUUCAUCCUAUAAUAAUAUAAUCAUUAUGUUUAAACAAUCAAACAAUCAACCCAAUUACCCAUCCCCAUUAUCUUCUUUAUUCUUAAGGAUCUACCAUAAGAAUCAUCUAUUUCUCGUUUAUUCAUUUCUAAGGAUUAUCCUAAGGAAUAGGUAUGAAUUCCAUCGUUGUCAAUGACACAUCUGUCAAACACAGCUGCUAGUUCUGUCACUUAGGUGCAGCUGCCAAAAUCGUAACAUUCUCUACGAGGUGCAUCUGUCGGUGUUGUCCUUUAGGCGCAGCUGCCAGGGUUAUCUCGUUUAUCGACAAUAUCGUUUCCGAGAAUCCACUCGCAAUACAUGUCAAUGGGUUUUUAGAGUACACCGGUGAACACAUCGUUCAUAACACCUACAGGUUGCAAGCCUGCUAGUGUUCCACUGGACUAUCUAGAAUAAUCCGUGGUUGUCAUCUAUACUCUGCUAGAUGACGGGGCCAACAUUUGGGUACAAGGCUUCUUACAUCGUCCGCCUCUCAUCCUCACCUCAUAGUCUAUUUAACCUCUCACCUCAUCAUCCAACUCAUAUUUCAUCUAUUACAUCUACCCAUGUUUUACCCCAACAUUUUCGUAGAUAUAAAAUACAUAUACAGUUUAAAUCAUUUAAAUCAUAUAAAACUUGUAUAAAAUCGUUCAUCCAGCAUAGAUAGAAAGUAUACAGAUAAUAUGCACACUUAGCAUAUAGGUUAUAUAAAAUACUUCAUAUCUAUGUGUAAGAUGAAAGGGACCAUGCACUCACUUGAAAAGGUGGUGAUUCCGAACUCAGACAGCGCUUCGCUUCUUAAAAAUAAUUUCCUUCGACGAAACCUAGUAUUAUUACCACUAGAGUUUAGUUUAUUAUUUGCAGGGACUAAUUAAUAGUCUAGCUAUUAUUACUAUUACAUAAGCGUUAAACAAUACUUAUAUAACCCAUAAUAAUAGCCCAAGUACUUAUUAUAAAUUCCUAAUAAUGUUACUAUAAUUAAAUAAAAACAAUAUUAAAAAUAGCGUAGGCGUAGCUCACUUACAACGAGUUUUAUAGAAAACCGGGCUUUGCUUGGAGAAGCAUUCCCGAGCCGAAAAACUCUUCUUCUUGGAGCCGUUGAGCACUCCAGGGCUUCCGCCUCGUGCUAGGGAGGUUCCCUAGCCUUUUCGGGGGGUUUCAGGGCUAGAGAGAGAGUAAAGAUAAGAAAGAAUGAGAAAGGUGUGAAGAAAAUGAGGGUGAGAGAGGUUCUAUUUAUAGGGUGAAAAAUGGCUGAAGUUGGUGCCACAUGUCACCAUCUAGUGGCAAGACUUGGGGAGAAAGCAAUGACCAAGAUUGUGCCACAUCACCCAUUUUCGCACAACACACUUCCGACUUCUAAAAUCCGUAACUUUCACAUACGAGCUCCGUUUUUGAUGUUUUUUAUAUCCACGCAUAGGUAAAAAUAAUAUCUACAACUUUCAUUUUGACUCCGUCGGCUAAUUCUCGGCCGAUCUUAAAUUUAACAGUAAACAGCACGAGGAGAUUAUACUGUAAAGUGUCCGCAUAAAGUUCAUAACUUCUACAUACGGACUUUGUUUUCAUCUAUCUUUUUACCGUUGAGUUCCUAUUAAUGAGAUCUUUAAUUCCCAUUUAGGUCGCGUAGGCCAAAAACCGAUCGAACUAAAAUUCGAGUUUCGGGUCGUGCACUGCUAUGCCAAAUGUUAGAAAAUUCAUAACUUCCUCGUACGAAGUCAGAUUUGGGCGUUCUUUUUAUGGACACUCUCAGUUUAACAUAUUAUACGAAUUUUGUUUAGAUUACUAAGGCUAAAAAGUCCUCUAUCGUAAAUUCACUAUUUACGUCUCCCGGUGCCGUGCCGGUUUUGUCGAAAAACUUCGACGGGCCAUAACUUCUUCGUUAUAACUUGGAUUUCGACGUUCUUUAUAUGUACGGAACCCUUGAGACAUAUUCUACAACUUGGUUAAAACUUCCAGAACAGACUAUACUUUCCUUCAUGUUCUAAUCUCAUCUUAAAAGGUAGCAUUUGUAGCUACAAGAAACUAUCGCGAUACCUCUACCGAUCGCUUUGAUUAUCUUUUAUUUCAAUCUUCCGGCUUAAGUCAGAUGUUACAUCAAACUUGGUUCUCUGAACCACGUAACAUACUCAUCGUAGUUGGACUCAAUUCGAUAUGACCACUAGGGUCGGAAUAACAGUCAUCUUCUUAGUCAUUACCGAAACGAUGGUAACGACAUAUUUGAAUAAAACAGUAUCAAUUACUAGCUUCUUGGUAACCUUGUGACUUUCCCUGAUCCAAGCGUGAGUCCCGUGCUUCCGGUAGUAUAGGCCUCUACUACUUUUCACACAUACUCAUACUCGUCCCAAGUAUUGUCUCGCAGUUUUCCUAGUCAUUAUCACAAAAAAACAAUUUUAACACAUACAAAUGUGUCCGAACAAUCAUAUAAUUUUCCCUAUACUCUACUAGGACUUCUUCCAUGCGUAUCUUCAAUCAACAAUUUUGCUUCGACCCGGUUGGUGGUGGAAAUGGCAGACGAUGGGAUAGCAAUGGAAUGCUAGUAUUGGUUAGCGCAGGUCAUAGGCGAUUCAUGUUAUAUGAGGUUGAUGGGUCGGGAAUCCAUCUGAUUUAAGAGAUGAGAGAGCUUCAUCGAAUCCAAGUGGGGGAGAAUCGAUCAGGAUUUCUGGGAAGUUAGGAAGGGUGUGGAACUAGGGCAAGUUUCACAUCCUGGCCAGGAGGGGAGACGACCCAAGUGGCCUUUUAGUUUGAGGUUAUGUAGGUGGGAGUUCAGGAAACUUCUAACUACUGGUCGGUGUCUCAUUUAUUAUGCAUAGCAGGCUUGUGGUUGAGUCCAGGUUGAGGGUUUUGAAAUUCGAAGCAUGACCCGAACACCUGAUUGAACACAGUUUGAUGUAGAUUUCGACUUAGGAUGUGUGGGGUUGUGAUGGUUAGGGUGUGAUAAGGCCAUAGGUGGUAACCAUGGUUGGUUAAAAGUGUUGUAAGAUUGCGAUGGGAUCGUAACAUUCACUAGUUCAAGGUAGACUAUUUUUCGAGGUGGUCAUGAGCGUAAAGGGGGAAUCAGUUCGUGCCUUGGGCACGUUGAUCAGGAUUGUCGAGGAGUAUUUCUCUGUUUUAGGUUGAGGACCAUUGGGGUACGAGGCGGAGUCGGGCCUGUGUAGCUCUAGAUGUGUGGGACCCAUGGGCGAGGCCGCUCCGUGGUAUAGUUGGGUGGGACCCGUGGGCAAGGCCCAUAUGUUUAUGGUAAUACAGGUGGGACCUGGUACAGACCGUUGGGUCAAGGUACUGGAUCUUGAGUUACAUGAUUAAGUGAGUGGUCACUGUGUGACGCAGAGACAUUUAUAGGCUGGGUAGCCUUUUUAUUUGGACUCUUGGGUAGGGGUGCAAAUGAGCCAAGCUACUUGUGAGCUACUCAAGAUCGAAUCGUUAAAAGCUCGACUCAAGAUCGAUUUUAAACGAGCCCGAGCCGAGCUCGAGCUUAAUAUUAGGCUUAUUUGUUAAACGAGCUCGAGCUCGAGCCUUUGUUACUUGGCUCGAUUAGACUCGCGAGCCUAAACUAGCAUACAUAUAUAUAUAAUAAAAAAUUUUAUUUUUAUUUGUAUAUAUUAAAAUAAACAAUAAUUUAAUAAAUACCAUUUUAGGAAAUUAGAGUAUACCGUAGACGAGCCGAGCACAAACCGAGCCCAAUCCCGUACAAUUAUUAACGAUCCAAUCUCGAGCUUUGUACCACAAGGAUUGAAACGAGCCGAGCUCGAGCUCGAGCCUAUAAAUAUUUAAACGAGNNNNNNNNNNNNNNNNNNNNNNNNNNNNNNNNNNNNNNNNNNNNNNNNNNNNNNNNNNNNNNNNNNNNNNNNNNNNNNNNNNNNCUCUUGGGAACCUGGUGGUUGGACUAGGUGCGAGACUGGUAGUCUCAAUGAUGGUUUGGGAACCUUUAUAUCCCGGCCUAGUGAGGGGUUGUUGUGAAUCAAAAGGUUUUGGGUGAAAUGCGAGUGUAGAUCCCUGGAUCUCGGGUUAUGAGUUGAGUAUCGAGUUGGUUUUUUUGGGUGAGAUCUCGAGUUGGGAAUCCGAGGGCGUCACUUGAAGGGUUCAAGGGUAAGGAAUGGAUUCAGUUUUGUCGAUAGAUCAAACCCUUGUGACUGUGUCUUGGAUUGGUUCUAUUUAUGAAGGGCAUCAAGCUAAGUCAAGGCGAUAUUAUUGAUUUGGAACUCAUGUGUGGAGUCGCUUGUUAUUCGAAGAAUAUGCUAGGUCACUUGUAGUUUGGAUUAGAUAAUCUCAGAGUAAAUGAUUUGACCCUGUUGCACAACUCUCGUUUGAGUCUAACCGUUGUAGGGAUGAGUCUUCUACUCGAAGGAUUAUCCGAGCCUUCUGUUAAGUAUAAGUGUUCUGCAUCAAUAACUUGUAUGUGAUUCUGCUUUCUAGUGGGAACCUCAAGUCAUUAGAAUUUGAGUAGUUAGUUAAGAGAUAAGUGGAAUAGAUUUAACAAUGGUUCAGUAUGGGCGGUCUGUUAGGGAGUCAGACCAUCUCGAGAUUUCAGAUUGAGUAGACAUGGUUAUUUUGCAAGGGAUUAUUUUAGGUUGAGAAAGAAUUCGUUCAUUUUCGGGUUGGAGAGCCCUGCUAGGUUUGGUUUUGGUUGCCUUGGGAAAACUUUGGUAUGCUCGGGGUUGUGGUUGUGUUUCUCAGGUUGUCUCGCAUACCGGGGAUUGUAAGGAAUGAAUUUGAGGAGAAAAUCUAAUUUAAGUGGAGGAGAGUUGUAACGCCCUGUUUCGGAUCGUUUUCCAUUUCAGGGUGGUGAUCAAGGAUUGGGUAUUAGUAGAAUUAGGACCCUUGAAGAAUUGAGAUAUGGACUCAUUAGGAGGUGGGUGAUGUAACUAGGAUGAUCCGGGUAAUUGGUUUGUUUUUGGAUCCAAAGGGUAUUUUAAAUAUAUGUCAGCUUGGGCUUUUAUAGAAAUUGGAUGUUUGUUCGGGAAAUUGUAAGGCAGUUAUGAGUUUAUUAAAGCAUAGAGAUUCUUGUUACCUUUUCAUGGAUAUAAGGAUCGUCGUAAUCAUAUUUAUAACGAAGAAGUUAUGGCCUUCAGAGUGCAAUAAGGUUUAGGAGGAAACCCUAGUAUGCGGGGCGUACCUAUGGAGAACGCGGGGCAUACAUGUGCGAAGGGAAGUACGCGAGGCGUAAUGUGAUGUACUCUUAGCAUAUUGCGAAAGAAGGAUCAGGAAUGUGAGGCCUCGUAUGCUGGGCGUAACAAGAGUAUGUGGGGCAUGUGAGGUGUGAAUGAAAACCCUUAUUUAGGGUGUUGUACCCUAUAUAAGCAUUUUAAGUCUUUAGGGUUUGCCUCUUUACCAGCCUCCAAGUCCCCAAAACCCUAGAAAUCGUCCCUUAGCCUCCAUUGUAGUGUUUUUGAGCUCAUUGUGUGCAUCUUGGUGUGUUUUGGUUCAUAUUCAAGAAGAUGGAGUUUGGUGCAAGGUUGUGGAUCAAGGAAGAACUUAUGGAUCCUGAUUCUCUACUUUAUUUCCAGCUUGUUUAAGGUAAAAAGCUAUAAACUUGUUCAUUAAUGUCUUAGAUAUAUGAGUUUCGGUUCCUUUUUGGCCCCAAGAAUGAGAUCUGGUGGUUUGAUACCACUCCAGGAGCUAUGAGUUGCCACUCUUGGUGUUUAUGAGGUUAUAGAUUCAUAAAGUUGUCUCCUUUAGGGUUUGGAAUCCCCCAUGCAUGAGACUGUGUCCAUCUGGUGAAAGUAUAUGCUAUAUCUUGAAGUUGGGUUCUUUUGGGGCAUGCAAAGUCACCAAGUCAGUGACUUUAUGGUUCUAGACUCUUAUUAGGACUCAUAUAUGUGGUUUGGACUUCUGGACUUAAGCAUUAAGAGCUUAAUGAAGAUUUUGGCUUAAUGGAUGAGUACGCUGGACGUACAAGUCUGUAUGUGCAACAUACAAGCCAAAUAGUGUGUACGCUUAGUAUACAACUGAGUACGCCUGCGUACCCAGUCAGGUGGGAUUUUGCAUCUUGGGCUUCAAGUUUAGGAUUUCUUUUGGGCUUGGGUGUUUUAGUUCUUAAUGGGCCAUUCGAGUACAAGUGUUUUGGACUAGAAAAAUUGGUUGGGCUUUAGGGUAAUGCCCAUGUAAGGGGUUUGGGCCCAAAUUGGAAAAUUAGGCCAUAAUUGGGCCUUGUUUGAUUAUUUGGCUUUUGGGCAUUUUAGAUUGUGAGUUUGGGCCUUGGUCUUGGUCCAAACUAGGUAAGGGGCAAAUUGGUUAUUUACCCUAGUAAUGGUCGGAUGGUUUGGAUGGGAAUCCAAUUAUUAAUUUAAUGUUGUUUGAUAUUGAUAGUUCGAGGAUUUGUCAGCCAACAACCAAGGAUUAUCUGUGCGUUUUGGCAGUACGAGAUGAGUUUUCCUCAUUAGGUUUAGCUGGGCGAAGACGCCAAUGUUGACCCAUGGUUUAUAUGUUAAGAAGCUAGAUGCAUGCGUGACUCUUGCAUGCGUUGUGUGAUGGUAUGCUUACCAGGCAAGGUCCGAUGCCAGACGGGGCCUGAUGCGUAGAUUGUAUGCUAGUUAUUAGUAUCUGUUUUUAUGCUUACGGGGCGAGGCCCGAUGUCGGGCGCGGAUCGAUGACGGUAUGGUAUGUUAUAGUCUUUGUGAUUAUUGCAUGUGCUAGUAAGGUUAUAUGUUUAUAUGAUUAUGUGUGUAUCGGGUGAGGCCCGAUGGAUGGCAGUGGCCCAAUAUGUGAUUUAUGUAUGUGUGGUAUGUGGUAUUUAGGAGAACUCACUAAGCUUUGUGCUUACGGUUUUCAGUUUAUAUUUAAGGUACUUCGGUUUUCAGUUUAUGUUUCAGGUACUUCGAUUUUCUAAUGAAAGAGCUCGAGAUGAUUGUAGAUCACACACAACAUGUUUCCGCAUUCUGUGAUUCACUCUGAUUUGAUGAUGUUGAUUACCUUGGUUUUUUUGAAAUGAUAUGUAUUAACAAUUUAUUAAUCUAAAAAUGAAAAUUUUAUGUUAUUAUUUUUGGGACGUUUCAGAGAGAGAGAGAGAGAGAGAGAGAGAGAGAGAGAGAGAGAGAGAGAGAGAGAGAGAGAGAGAGAGAGAGAGAGAGAGAAAAANAGAGAGAGAGAGAGAGAGAGAGGACAAAAUUGUCCAAGAAACCAACACCUAGUGUUUGUCCCAUAACAAUCUAUUUAUAUGAUGCAAAUAGAAUCCUAGAAAGAUUCAAACUCUUAGGUUAAUCUUUAUCUGAUUUAAACUUGCUCUACCUCUAUUUAAGGACUUAGCCAAAAUCAUCCAUAUCAAUCAUCCAAAACUCGAUAAUUCUUAAUGGAUUUUGGAGCUCCAUAUCUCAACGAAAGCUUCAUUAGGAUCAAACGGAAGUUGAUUCAGUGAAGGAUGGGAGUUCACACAACAAUUCAACCAUGAAUCAAGCAUCAAAUUAGUAAAAUACUCACCAUCAUCAUAUUUGGAUUAAAACCAAACCCUAGGUUUGAAUUUAGGGAAGAUGAGAGUAGAAGAUGUUAUCUUAAGUGCUUAAUUGAAACCCUAACUUCCAAAUCCUUUGAUUGCUUCAGCAAUUGGUUUUAUAUCUUAUCGCCAAUAAAGUGCUUCCUCCCCUCUUCAAAUCGUUUUAUGCUUCAAAUGAGAGUGGAAAGCCCGUAACUAGCUCAUAUUUAUGAAAGUGGGCAACAAUGUCAAUGAGGCUUUCCCAUCAAUUUAUCUCAUUUUGACACCCUUUUAACUAGAAAAUUAUAGAACUUUUUUUUUGGUACAUUGGGCAUUAAACUGCCUUCUUCCAGGUUAUAUGGACCCUAACUAGUCAAGUAGUCAACAUUUUGUCAUUAAGUUUGUAAGUUGGCAAAACUAAUCCUUUUACUUUAAACUCUAACUUGAAACUCCAUUAUUAACCUUAUUUUAAUUUCCCUUAAAUUGAUACUAAACUUUUCAUAAUAGAUAUGAUUUCAGUUUAUCUAUUAUUAUUAUUUUAUUUAUUUAAUUUAAAUUUAUAACGAAAAUUUCUAUAUCUAAUUUAAGGAUGUUACAGUUUUUGACUUACACUUCAGUCUUGUCUUCUUAGUUUAGUGUUGUCUUCCUUUACACUAGCGUUGCCCCUUUCUGAAUAGCAAAACACUUGUACUUCUAGAUUUUAUUGCAUAGAAUUUACCACUGCCCCUUUCUCAAUAGCAAAACGCUUGUACUUCUAGAUUUUACUGCAUAGAAUUUACCACAGUUAUUGAUAUACAAUAAGUGUCUAAGAUCUUAUGGCCAAGCUUGCUAAUGUUUUUUUUUCUUGAUCAACAUAGUGUAAAUUCAAAUUUACAAUAUAUAAAACGUUCUAGUUUUGAGUAACAUCAUUUUUAUCAUUUCUGGCAUCUUGUAUUUUGCACAGGGUUUGCAUGCCUCUUCAUCACUAUUUCUUUAUAUAGCGAUUUCAAACAAGUAGUCGCCCAAUAAACCUAUCACCGAACUACCUACCAUUAAGGUUAUCAAACCGGAGUAUUUUAGUUGUGCCUCCUCUCAACGAACCGUGGUAUCAUGUUGAUAAAAUACCACAGAGAAAACAUUUUGCAAUCACUAUAAGAAAGAAUGGUUAAUACCUAGAGAAUGAUUAGCAAUGCAGAGAGUAGUGUUUGUGUCUUUGUGACUAGUUGUUUAGUUGUAAAUGUGAUGAAAGAAGAUAUUUAAUUUAAUUUUUUUUGUUUAAUUGUUUUCUAUUUAUAAAUAUGCACUAUUUGUUCGAUGGAUAUUUUUCUUUAUUAUUAGUGAUAAAGUUAACGUUAUCAAGACUAGACCAUGGCACGUUGCAAUUCGAGUAAUCCAAAGCUUAUUUCCCAACAAUGAAAUAUUUGAGCAUGUUUGAUAGUUGGUAUGAUCAACCUCCUCUAUUUCGAUGAAAAUCGAAGGGACAUUAUUUCCUAUAAGGUUUACAUCACGGCAAGUUACUAUUAAUUUUCAUUAAUCUAAACACUAUUCACAUAAUCACAUGUAGUUAAAUUGAACAGAAAGUUUUAUGGACUGUUAUUUAUUUAUUUAUUUUAGAAUGAUGAACAUAUUUUAAUCUACUUUUAAAUUAACCCUAGUCCCACUAAUGUCUUAAAUAGUACUUGGACCUCAAUCUCUUGAAGGAUGACAUUUCACCAUAUUGUUACUCCACCAUAUUGUUACUCCGUUAGACUAAAGGUAUGUUGGUUUAUGAUCUACCGGAAACUUAUGUGUACAUUAAUUGUUUAUUGUUUAAUCAAGUUUAUCUUUGUCCUUGAUUUGUUCUUCUAAAAAUUAUUGUAAAGUUUCUCUGUAUUUGGUUUUGUAAGCAAAUUAUUUUAGUGAUUCUUUAUUUUGAUCACAAGCUCCUUGUUAAUCUGAAAUUGUGAACAAUAUAUGUAUAUGAAAUGCAAACACUUGAGCUUCAAGCCUCUAACUCAACUUAAGCUUAUUCAAUUUGAACUUUAUAUAACUUGCUUAAUUAAACCAAUAUGUAAUGUAUAUUUUUGAGUUAUUCUGGAUUUUGAACUCGAGGUAAAACUCAUGCAUCUCCAUAGUUUUUUGCUUGAUUACUCUUUUGUUGGGUAUUCUUUUUUCGAAACUUAUAAAACGGCCAGUGAAGUAGGCAAAAUAAUAAAGGGUUAUUGAUGUGUUAGAAUGAUGGACUUUUUGUACGAGAACCAAGUUUUGUUAAAAAAAAUAUUAUACGUAAAUAGUUGGUGAUAAACAUCGUACAUCAGAAAUAUAAAAAAGACGUCGUCUCAAGUUAAACGUAGGAAAGGUGGUAAUGUGUUUUUACCAACCCUAUUAAAGAAAUGACAAAUUUGGUGGUCCUUGAAGUUAUUUAAUUUGUAGGAAUGGCACAGCUUUUAAGUUUUAGUUGCAGGUGGGUCCUUCUUUACCUGGCAACCAAUUGUUGAUGAUAUGAACCAUGAUGUGUUACUUUUUUAAAUAAAGGAACGACCACGUAUACAAGUACUCGUACUAUUUAUCUAUUUGAUUCCUAAAGGAAGAUAUUUAUGUCACAUCAAUUUUAAGAAAAUAUUAUUGGUAGUUGAAUUUAGUAGUAAUAUGUUACCAUUCGUUUAUAAAUGUGAUUUAUAAACGUAAAUAUCAAAUGGAACAUAAAAAAUCAUAAUAAAAUUUGGAUCUAACAAUUAUUUAUAAAAGAAGAAGAUGAAAAUAAGAUUUGAAGGUGUUAUAUUAAAAACAUAACUUUGAAAGAUAACAAGAGACAAAUUGUAAUUUAUAAAAUAUCAAUAAUUUAAUUUUAAAAAUAUAAAUGAUGAAAACCGUUCAAAAUUUUUAGAAAAAAAAUAUAAAUAUAUGUUAUGAUGAGAAGCAAAUUUAAAAAAAAAAAGUUUAUUUUGAAUCUUGUAUUAUACAAUGAAAAAGUCGAUAUGAUCUAAUUUUAAAUAUUUUUUUAUAUGAAAAUAUCAAACCAAAUGUAAUAGUAAAACAUAUAUAUAUAUAUAUAUAUAUAUACACACACACACACAGACAGACAGACACAUAGCACGUAUUCUAUAGGAAAUACUUCACAUCUAUGGGUAAGAUGAAAAUGACUACACACUCACUUGAUUAGACGAUGCUCNNNNNNNNNNNNNNNNNNNNNNNNNNNNNNNNNNNNNNNNNNNNNNNNNNNNNNNNNNNNNNNNNNNNNNNNNNNNNNNNNNNNNNNNNNNNNNNNNNNNNNNNNNNNNNNNNNNNNNNNNNNNNNNNNNNNNNNNNNNNNNNNNNNNNNNNNNNNNNNNNNNNNNNNNNNNNNNNNNNNNNNNNNNNNNNNNNNNNNNNNNNNNNNNNNNNNNNNNNNNNNNNNNNNNNNNNNNNNNNNNNNNNNNNNNNNNNNNNNNNNNNNNNNNNNNNNNNNNNNNNNNNNNNNNNNNNNNNNNNNNNNNNNNNNNNNNNNNNNNNNNNNNNNNNNNNNNNNNNNNNNNNNNNNNNNNNNNNNNNNNNNNNNNNNNNNNNNUAUCCAUAAUUUUUUAUACGAGUAACCUACCUAUUUCUCUAUUCUACAUUUCAUGAUCCUGAUGGGAUGUCAAGCCCACCAAACAAAUUACACCCUUUGAUUGCUAAAUAAACGUAAUAUAAUGGUAAAAAGGGGUAUCGAUCCUCAGAGAAAUGAUUGUAUUCAAUCACUAAUGCAAUUCAAUAGAACUAGUGAAAUUAAACUAACUACAAUUAAACUAAAAGGGGUUUUUUUUGAUUACUUGAAAACUAAAAUACUUGAAUAACUAAAAACCUUGCAAUUAAGCAAGUUGACGAGAUGCUCAAAGGUUGGGAAUAAUUGGUUAACUAAGGCAAUUCAACACAAUGAACAUUUGUGUGUUUAUCAUUAGGAUCUAAUACAAAGCUUAUCCUUCAUCCCAAAUUGGUUAUAGCAAUCAUGAAACAUGAUAUGCCAAGAUUCCUCAUAGGUAGUAUGGAGGUUGGGGAAGCCCACAACACACCUUCUUAAUUAAGAUCAAGGGUCAAUUGAAGCAAUUAAUCCCAAGAAAUCAAUUAGCCUUAAGAAUGAAGGAAUCCCCAAUUCCUAGAGGAUGUCAAAUGCUUACACAUCCAUAAAGGAGAUAUGAUUCAUAAGCUAGAGAUGAUUUCUACCAUCAUAAAGCCUUUGUUCUAGAUAAAUUCAAUGAUCCAAUGCAAAAUCAAUGAAAUAAAUCAACCAUUGCUCAAUCAAAUACUAAGCUCAUGAUCAAAGCAUCAAAUAAGCAUAAGAAUUGCAAACUAGAAUCAUAAACAUGGAAUAAAUUGAUAAUCAACAUAAAUCCUUCAAAACCCACAAACAUUCAUUGGUUUUCAGCCAAAGUCAACCAAAUAAGAGUAUUAGCCACUCAUGGCAACAAAGUAACAAGAACAAUAAUCUAAUUGCAUAAAGAAACUACCUAAGAUUUGGAAAGAUGAAAGGAAAUGAUUUCUAGCUCCCAAAAUCGCCUCUUGCAGGUCUCCAAUGGUGGAAAAACGUGAAUGAGCUUCUAGAUCUGAUCCCCAAGGGUUAUGGCAAGCCAAAUGACCAAAAUGCCCAAACUGGGCAGUUGCGCGGGUACCCGCGCGACGAAAAUUCCACCCGCGCAAAUGUUGCAGUAAUGCUAUUGGUCCACCAAGCCACUCCACCCUUCCACUACCAAAGAUUCCUUUGGUCCCCCNNNNNNNNNNNNNNNNNNNNNNNNNNNNNNNNNNNNNNNNNNNNNNNNNNNNNNNNNNNNNNNNNNNNNNNNNNNNNNNNNNNNNNNNNNNNNNNNNNNNNNNNNNNNNNNNNNNNNNNNNNNNNNNNNNNNNNNNNNNNNNNNNNNNNNNNNNNNNNNNNNNNNNNNNNNNNNNNNNNNNNNNNNNNNNNNNNNNNNNNNNNNNNNNNNNNNNNNNNNNNNNNNNNNNNNNNNNNNNNNNNNNNNNNNNNNNNNNNNNNNNNNNNNNNNNNNNNNNNNNNNNNNNNNNNNNNNNNNNNNNNNNNNNNNNNNNNNNNNNNNNNNNNNNNNNNNNNNNNNNNNNNNNNNNNNNNNNNNNNNNNNNNNNNNNNNNNNNNNNNNNNNNNNNNNNNNNNNNNNNNNNNNNNNNNNNNNNUAUAUAUAUAUAUAUAUAUAUAUGGGAAAAGUGAGUAUGAGGCUGUAAUACAUGUAAUCUUAGGUGUGGAACCUUCAUAACGCUGUCGUUUUGCUUUAAUAGCUUUUUUACCCACCGCAUUUUUCUUCCGGAGCCCUAAUGUUUCAUUAAUUAUCACGUGCAUUGGAUGAAAAUGAAUUCACUUACAUUCACUUAUUUUAGGCAUCUAUAAAUUUUUAUAUUAUUUUUCUCUUGAUUUUCGGCUCCCAUGAAAUCCUACCAAUAUUACAAAAUUCAUCUCACUUUUACCCAUAAUUCUUUCUCAACUUUGAUUUCUAGUAUCCAUAAUUUUUUUAUACGAGUAACCUACCUAUUUCUCUAUUCUACAUUUCAUGAUCCUGAUGGGAUGUCAAGCCCACCAAACAAAUUACACCCUUUGAUUGCUAAAUAAACGUAAUAUAAUGGUAAAAAGGGGUAUCGAUCCUCAGAGAAAUGAUUGUAUUCAAUCACUAAUGCAAUUCAAUAGAACUAGUGAAAUUAAACUAACUACAAUUAAACUAAAAGGGGUUUUUUUUGAUUACUUGAAAACUAAAAUACUUGAAUAACUAAAAACCUUGCAAUUAAGCAAGUUGACGAGAUGCUCAAAGGUUGGGAAUAAUUGGUUAACUAAGGCAAUUCAACACAAUGAACAUUUGUGUGUUUAUCAUUAGGAUCUAAUACAAAGCUUAUCCUUCAUCCCAAAUUGGUUAUAGCAAUCAUGAAACAUGAUAUGCCAAGAUUCCUCAUAGGUAGUAUGGAGGUUGGGGAAGCCCACAACACACCUUCUUAAUUAAGAUCAAGGGUCAAUUGAAGCAAUUAAUCCCAAGAAAUCAAUUAGCCUUAAGAAUGAAGGAAUCCCCAAUUCCUAGAGGAUGUCAAAUGCUUACACAUCCAUAAAGGAGAUAUGAUUCAUAAGCUAGAGAUGAUUUCUACCAUCAUAAAGCCUUUGUUCUAGAUAAAUUCAAUGAUCCAAUGCAAAAUCAAUGAAAUAAAUCAACCAUUGCUCAAUCAAAUACUAAGCUCAUGAUCAAAGCAUCAAAUAAGCAUAAGAAUUGCAAACUAGAAUCAUAAACAUGGAAUAAAUUGAUAAUCAACAUAAAUCCUUCAAAACCCACAAACAUUCAUUGGUUUUCAGCCAAAGUCAACCAAAUAAGAGUAUUAGCCACUCAUGGCAACAAAGUAACAAGAACAAUAAUCUAAUUGCAUAAAGAAACUACCUAAGAUUUGGAAAGAUGAAAGGAAAUGGUUUCUAGCUCCCAAAAUCGCCUCUUGCAGGUCUCCAAUGGUGGAAAAAUCGUGAAUGAGCCUCUAGAUCUGAUCCCCAAAGGUUAUGGUGUGCCAAAUGACCAAAAUGCCCAAACUGGGCAGUUGCGCGGGUACCCGCGCGACGGAAAUUCCACCCGCGCAAAUGUUGCAGUCAUGCUAUUGGUCCACCAAGCCACUCCACCCUUCCACUACCAAAGAUUCCUUUGGUCCCCCCUUUGUCCAGGUAAUUUGAAUUCACCAAUCAUCAUUUAGCCACCAAAUGGAUGCUCCAAGCCCAAAAUUAGAAUUUUAUGAUCCAUCUUCACAAGCCCAAAUAAUCCAAGCCAAUAACUUUCAAAGCCCAAUUCUUCUUCUUUGAUUCCGCUAAGCCCAAUAAUGCCUCGGGAGCCCACUAAGCCCGUCUCCAAUCAACCCGCCACCGCAACAAGCACUGAAAAACCUACAAAAUAUCUCAUUCAACAUAACAAGCACCCGGUAUGAUCCAUAAUAAAGAAAAUAAAGAAUAUACAAUGCAAUAAUGAUAAAAAGAUCUAAAAAAAUCUAAAAUAAACUAAUAAAAAUAAGGAAAUAAAAUAAGCUAUCAAAUCACCCCAACCUUAAACCUAACUUGUCCUCAAGUUAGAACAAGACUAAAAAUAAGCUUGGGAUGAACUAUCUAAAAAAGGAAAAAGAAAGAUACCAUAGAACUUGGUCAACAUCAGUCAACAUGGUCAGAAUUAGUCCUUCAAUGGACCCUACGCAUCUUCAAAAUGUUCCCCGCUUUAGAGCCAUAAACCACAUUCUCAACCACUUGAUGGGCGAAUAGAUCACGGCUGGAUGCGGUCGCGGUGUGCAAGACAAAGGAAACAGAGAUGCACCCAGUGGGGGCACUUUAAAUCACCAAUGUAGACCAUAGUGCAUGAAGGAAAGGCGCCUCUUCACACACUAUGAUUCCUACAUUUGUCAGGCUAAAGUGUAUAGUACGAAAUAGGAUUUUGUAGCACGGCCUCCGGGCAAACAUCCGGUUUCAGAGGUUUCUCCCUUGUACUGUCUUUUACACUCUAUCGUCUCAUCGUCGGGGCCUUUUCUCACCAAAAAUCAAAAAUCAAAAAUAAAAUAAAAUAAUAAAAUAUUCUACUUAACCUAAAUCUAAACCUUACAACCUAAAUCUUCAAUCUUGAACUUCUAUUAUUUGGAUUUCAGUCACAUUUGCUGCUUGACAUUCAGAUUUUUUUUUUGGGGAAUUAUAUAUAUAACAUAAGUCUUGAACUUGGAACCUUGUUCUUCUUUUUGUGUUGCUCUUUUUCUUCAUUUUUCUUCUUUGUUUUUGUUGCUUUUCUUGAAUCAUCUUUAAUAGGCUCUUAUUUUCUUCACUUUUUCAAAUUUCUUCAUUCUUUGUGUUGCUUCUUGGAAGGUCUAAGGAAUUUCACCAAGUAACAUAGGACUCCAAUAGUGAAAAUUGAGUGAUAGAUAGAGGCUAAUAUGAACACCUAAUGAUCAUUGACAAUGUGCCAAGAUCAACUAAAAAGGGUGGGGAAUGACUCAAAAAUGGGUGUUACCGAAAAAACUUGGUCCCAAAAGAUGUGAAUUGGGGGACCCACUUCAAAGUUCAUCAAGCACCUCAAUGCAAGGUGUGAUAAACAAAAUCUAUCUAACUAUCUACUCUAGACCCCUAGAAAAAUGAUAACCUAUCCUAAAAAGGUGGUGAGAAUCUAACUAAGCAAGGCUCGGACGAGACUCGGGAGUACUAAGGGGUACUCCCUCCAAAACCAAGAUGCGAGUCUUCAAUAUCUUCAAUGUCUUCAAAAUACCUUACCGGGCUAGUCUUUGCUCGCACACAUUGGCAUGACCAACCACAUCCCUCCGCACCUAGACCCAAUCAAGCUACCUGCAUCUGACCCCCACACAAGCGGUCUCAAAGUGGUCUGUGAGGCUCAAAACAUGUCCCAUUCAUCAAAUACAAGGAAUUCCAUAUCAAGACCCGGGACCAAUCUAUGAUUCAAUAAUUAUGACUCGGCGCUAUGGUACCUGUAGGGAUGAGAAGACAAGAGAGAACAAAAAUGCAUGAACUUAAACUAGAAUGCAUCUAAAAAGUAUGAAAAUUAGAAAAGAAAGAAAGAAAAUAUGCAAUAUUUUUGAAUUUUUUAUGCAAUUUUUAUGAGUGACCUAAAUGACUUACUCUAAAUGCAACAAUAUACAACCUAAAUGCAAUAAAAAAAAUAAGAAAUACCUCACCCCAUGCUUAAAAUUAAGCAUUGUCCUCAAUGCCUAGGAUGAGAGUAAGGAAGGAUCAUAUCGGGAUCAAGGAGGAGGAGGCAUGCGAGGACGGUAUGGAAGCAACCCAUGGGUCGCAUAAUGAUGCUUGGAUGGAGUUCUUGGCCGCCUAAAUACACAUGAAUGAAAGCUUGGUCGCGCAAAGGAUGCAUAUGAAAUGGCUCGAAAUUUUCUUAUGAAAUGACAUAUUUGCGCGGGCAAGGUUCUAAAAGGCGUGAGGCAUGGCGUGGCGGCAAGGCCAAGCCNCAAGCCUCAAGCUUAACGAGUUAUGGCGAGCCAUGGCUUUUUUCAAGGUGUGAUGUAAGGCGGCGAUUUUGUAUUAAUUUAUAAUUAUAUUACCGCAUAAAUAUAAAUUUAUAUCAAAUAUACCUAGUUUUUAGAAGUGUUAUAUCAACAACUAAUAACAGAAAGUUAAUAAAAAACACAAUACUUGUAUGUCCGAUUAGAAAAGGUAUAAAAAAGAGCAAAAAAACGUGUCUCAAACGAAAAAACACGCGCCAUAACACGCCAUAACGCGCCAUGACACGCCAUAUCACGCCUUGCCACGCGCCACACCUAACAGCAAUGUUAUGAAGCUUUUCGAAACGGCGACGCCGCGCCUCACGCCAUGGCGCCCGCCAUGGCGCGCCUUUUAGAACACUGUGCGCGGGUACCCUCGCAAACUUUACGCGGGUGGGGGGCAGCCGCGCGCACAUGUCAGAAUACAUCCCAUGUUGGGGUAAUUUGGAACUCGGAAUCUGCGCGGCUGGGGGUCGGUCGCGCAACGGCUGCGUGGGCACCCGCGCGCAACAAUCAGAGAGCACCCCAUGUUGGUGUAAUUUGGAUCUCGGGACCUGUGCGGCUGGGGUCGGUCACGCAAAGUCUGCGCGGGCACCCGCGUAAAAGUCAAAUUUUUGGAAUUUUUCAAACUUCACCAAAAUCACUAGAAGACUUCUAUAUGCUUAUUUUUUUGGCCAACUUCAAGUUUAGAAACACCCAAAACUUCAAGCGGAGAUUAUUUAUUCACAAUGCAUUUAUUUAACGUCUUUGCCAAGACAUAGCCCCGCUUCCGUCAACCUUCGUAAAUCGGUGUUUCCAUUGUUACGUUGUCGAAUUCUCCCGUGUCAAAGCCUUCAUAAAAUAGUUUCAAAUGGUGCCCAUUCACUUUGAAGAUUUGGUUUGUUUCCAAACUCUUGAUUUCAACCACACCAGGAUCAAACACUUUUAUAACAAUAAAAGGUCCAUGCCAUCGAGAUCGCAAUUUUCCCGGGAAUAGCUUUAAGCGUGAAUGAUAAAGAAGAACUUUUUGACCCGGAAUAAAGUGUUUUUGGGUGAUGUGCUUGUCAUGAAAUACCUUUUUCUUCUCUUUUCACCUUUUGAACCUUUUAAUUAUCUUCUUCUUGACCACUUCCAUCAUUGGAGGAUCCAAUCUUCUUUGAGGUUCCCUCUUAGGAUUACAAUCAUCUUCCAUGAUUAUCUUGUCUGUGCAUACAUUAGGGCUUAUCCUGUUUACUGGCUCAAUCACAUCAACCCGAUACAAUGGAGAAAUGUUACUAGGGUACCUCAUUCCUUCAAAGAUGUUGAAGUGAAUGGUUUCUCCAUCAAACUCCAUAGUUAUCUUUCUUUUAUGGACAUCAAUGAUUGUGUGAGCGGUAUGCAUGAAAGGUCUUCCAAGGAGGAUCAUAGAUGAUUUGGAAGGAGUCUUCUCUUCUAGAUCAAUGACAUAAAAAUCCGCCGGAAAAACAAGUUGAUUAACUUGUACUAACACAUCCUCCAACACUCCUCUUGGAAAUACACUUGACUUGUCCGCUAAUUGAAUGAUGACUCCGGUUUCUUCCAAAGGUCCAACAUUGAGAGAUUGAAAAACCGAGUAUGGCAUGACAUUGAUUGAGGCUCCAAGAUCUAGCAUGGCACUUUUAACAUGUAAAUCACCAAUGGUGCAAUGUAUAGCAAACAUUCCUGGGUCUUUGCAUUUGGGUGUAAGCUUCUUUUGGAUGACCGCGGAUACAUUUGCAUUUACUUGAAUCUUCUCAUUUGUCUUGAAUUUUCUCUUGUUGGUGCACAAAUCCUUAAGAAAUUUGGUGUAACGUGGGAUUUGCUUAAUGGCAUCCAAUAGUGAAAUAUUGAGUUGAACCUUGCGGAAAGUCUCAAGAAACUCUUUCUCUUCUUCUUGGUUCUUUGAGGACGCCAACCGAGAUGGAAAAGGUGGUGGUAUGACCAAUGGUUUGAUGGGUUUUUUGGAAGGAUCAGAUUGAUCAACAUUUGGCACAACCGGUUCCUUUGGAGGAACUACAACUUUUGUAGAUUCCACAAUGAUCACUUCAUCUUCGUCUUCUCUUGAAACUCUUUUAGGUUGACUUUCUCUAAGUGUUUUCCCACUUCGCAAGGUGAUGGCACUCACAUUGGGGUUCUUCUCGGUUUUUGAUGGAAGUUUACCCCUUUGUUCUAUCUUGUUGAGAGCGGUUGCCAAGUCUCCAAUUUGUGUUUGAAUGUUGGAGAAAGUAUUCUUGGUUUCUUGUUGAAAUUGGGUUUGACUUUGAGCAAGAGAAGUAACAAGUUCUUGAAGGUUCAUUUGAUGGUUACCACUUGAUUGACCUUGUUGUGGAGGGUGUCGAUAAUUUGGAGGGUUAUAAGAAUUUUGUGGAUAUAGAGGUUUUUGGGAUUGGUAUUGUGGAUGUUGGGGUCUCAUCAAAAGAUUUGGUGGAUUUUGCUUUGGUGGAUAAGGGUUGUUUUGGUUAUUCCUCCAAUUUGGGUUGAAAUUGUUUUGAAAUCCCGCGGGUCUUGGUUGACAUUGAUAUCCGCCCAUUGCAUUCACAUCUUUCGGUUCACUUCCAAGUGUGGGACACUUAUCCGUAUAAUGGCCCGUCAUUGCACAAAUACCACAUGCCAUCAAUUGUUGACCACUUCCCACCACUAGUUGACUUAACACAUUAGUCAAAUCCAAGAGCUUUGAUUCCAAAUGUUGAGUGUUGCCAACUUCACCAACCACUUGUGUAUAAUUUCUCUUCAUGUCAUUUCGAGUCCCAGAAUUCCUUUGAUUUUGAGAAAUGGUACCAAAAAGUAAUCGGAUCUCGUGAGGGGUUUUGUUGAAGAUGUCACCACCACUUGAAGCAUCAAUCAUCCUUCGAUCUUUUUCAUUCAUACCCUCAUAAAAUUGUUUAAGAAGUAGUUUUUCGGGUAUAUUGUAUUGAGGACAACUUGUACACAAAUUGUUGAAGCUCCCAAAAUCAUGAAAUGUUUCAUUUUCCCCUUGAUGAAUCCACAAAAUGUCACUUCUUUGACUUGAAAUGCGGGAGGUGGGAUAGAAUUUGCUAUUGAAGGUCUUGAGUAACUCUUCCCNCCAUGUGUGAAUAGAUCUCGGUGGUAAGUUGAAUAACCACUCUCUAGCUUUGUUUUCCAAGGUGAGCGGGAAUGCGGUUAACUUGAAAUCAUCCAAUGUCACAUUGUCGGGCAACAUGCUAACACAUAUCAUAUGAAAGGACUUCAAAUGCUUUUGAGGGUCUUCUCUAUCCAAACCAUGGAACUUGGUAAGUUGAUGGAUGAAACUUGACUUCAAUUCAAUCCCUCGGCGGUUUGCGGGAUAAACAAUAGCAAGAGGUGUGUGAGUAACAUCCGUUUCCAUCAUUUGUCUAAGUGUCAACUCUUGAGGGGGAUUGGGUGGAUUGGGGUUGUUGGGAUAUUGUUGCAAGUAAUUGGGUGGUUGAUGAUAAGGUGGGUAAGAGUAUUGUAGGGGAUUGUAGAUUGGUGGUGGAUAAGGUUGGUAGUUAGGGUAUUGGUUGUAAGGAGGUUGUUGUUGUGGGUACAUUGGGUUUUGGUACAUUGGAGGGUGUUGGUAAUUGGGUUGAUUUGGGUAAUGUACUUGUUGUUGAACUUGAAAAGCAUUGUUUUGAGGUUGGUUGUUUUGGUGGAAGUUUUGGUUUUGUGGUUGAUAAUUGGGUUGGUUUUGAGGAGGUGCUUGAUUCCAAGGUGGCAUAUCAAUGAGAGGUUCUUGUGGUUAGUGUCUUGGUUGAUGGGGUGGGGUAUUGGCAUCUUGAUUGAUUGGGUUUGGGUUGGGAUUGUGAGGUGAAGUGUGAUUCAUGGCUAUGUGGUUUUCAAACGGAAUGUCUUCAAAGGAAUGACCAACAAUUAGAGAACUCGGUUCGGUGUCGGUAUCACUUGAAGUAUGAACUUGAUCUUCUAUGUUGAUUAGUGGAGAAGAGGAAGAAGCUUGAACUAGUUGUUGUUUCUUUGCUUGUUUGGAUAACUUUUUCAACCUUUUUGCUACUCUUUCAAUUUUCGGAUUGUAGAGUAGUUCACCGGUUCUUGUAGACCUAGGCAUAAACAAUCAAAUAACAAUAACCAAUUUCCCCGGCAACGGUGCCAAAACUUGGUGGGAUGUCAAGUCCACGAAGCAAAUUACAACAUUUGAUUGCUAAAUAAACGUAAUAUAAUGGUAAAAAGGGGUAUCGAUCCUCGGGGAAAUGGUUGUAUUCAAUCACCAAUGCAAUUCAAUAGAACUAGUGAAAUUAAACUAACUAACUACAAUUAAACUAAAGGGGGGGNUUGUAGACCUAGGCAUAAACAAUCAAAUAACAAUAACCAAUUUCCCCGGCAACGGCGCCAAAACUUGGUGGGAUGUCAAGCCCACCAAGCAAAUUACACCCUUUGAUUGCUAAAUAAACGUAAUAUAAUGGUAAAAAGGGGUAUCGAUCCUCGGGGAAAUGGUUGUAUUCAAUCACUAAUGCAAUUCAAUAGAACUAGUGAAAUAAAACCAACUAACUACAAUUAAACUAAAAGAGGGUUUUUUGGAUUACUUGAAAACUAAAAUACUUGAAUAACUAAAAACCUUGCAAUUAAGCAAGUUGAUGAGAUGCUCAAAGGUUGGGAAUAAUUGGUUAACUAACGCAAUUCAACACAAUGAACAUUUGUGUGUUUAUCAUUAGGAUCUAAUACAAAGCUUAUCCUUCAUCCCAAAUUGGUUAUAGCAAUCAUGAAGCAUGAUAUGCCAAGAUUCCUCAUAGGUAGUAUGGAGGUUGGGGAAGCCCACAACACACCUUCUUAAUUAAGAUCAAGGGUCAAUUGAAGCAAUUAAUCCCAAGAAAUCAAUUAGCCUUAAGAAUGAAGGAAUCCCCAAUUCCUAGAGGAUGUCAAAUGCUUACACAUCCAUAAAGGAGAUAUGAUUCAUAAGCUAGAGAUGAUUUCUACCAUCAUAAAGCCUUUGUUCUAGAUAAAUUCAAUGAUCCAAUGCAAAAUCAAUGAAAUAAAUCAACCAUUGCUCAAUCAAAUACUAAGCUCAUGAUCAAAGCAUCAAAUAAGCAUAAGAAUUGCAAACUAGAAUCAUAAACAUGGAAUAAAUUGAUAAUCAACAUAAAUCCUUCAAAACCCACAAACAUUCAUUGGUUUUCAGCCAAAGUCAACCAAAUAAGAGUAUUAGCCACUCAUGGCAACAAAGUAACAAGAACAAUAAUNNNNNNNNNNNNNNNNNNNNNNNNNNNNNNNNNNNNNNNNNNNNNNNNNNNNNNNNNNNNNNNNNNNNNNNNNNNNNNNNNNNNNNNNNNNNNNNNNNNNNNNNNNNNNNNNNNNNNNNNNNNNNNNNNNNNNNNNNNNNNNNNNNNNNNNNNNNNNNNNNNNNNNNNNNNNNNNNNNNNNNNNNNNNNNNNNNNNNNNNNNNNNNNNNNNNNNNNNNNNNNNNNNNNNNNNNNNNNNNNNNNNNNNNNNNNNNNNNNNNAGGCUGUAAUACAAGCAAUCUUAGGUGUGGAACCUUCAUAACGCUGUCAUUUUGCUUUAAUAGCUUUUUUACCCACCGCAUUUUUCUUCCGGAGCCCUAAUGUUUCAUUAAUUAUCACGUGCAUUGGAUGAAAAUGAAUUCGCCUACAUUCACUUAUUUUAGGCAUCUAUAAAUUUUUAUAUUAUUUUUCUCUUGAUUUUCGGCUCCCAUGAAAUCCUACCAAUAUUACAAAAUUCAUCUCACUUUUACCCAUAAUUCUUUCUCAACUUUGAUUUCUAGUAUCCAUAAUUUUUUUAUACGAGUAACCUACCUAUUUCUCUAUUCUAUAUUUCAUGAUCCUCAAUUGCAUCGUUUAAUCCAAGCGACCAGGUAUGAAUUAAUUUAAUUUUCUUUGUUAUUGUGGUUCCUUAUCAAUUUUACCCACCCUUCCUUCUCAACUUUGAAUUCUAUGACCACUAAUAUUUUUUUUUACUAGAUUAACCUACAUAGAGCGUUGUUUUAUCAUUCAUCCUCAUUAAUUUUGUGGGUUAUCAAAGUUACCAGGUACCAACAUGCUGUUAAAAAAGCUAUUAAUUGUUUUUCAUAUUGACUUACUCAGUUCUCUGUUUUAGGUUGAAUUUGAUUCAAUAACAUCGGACACCUAUAAAAAGUUAAGAUCAUGGAUUUUGAAAGCCCAGUAGCUAAUCAGUCGUUUGCAACACAUACAAUCGAAGAUAUAGAUGCGAAUGUUUCUUUGGAAUCAACAUUUGAAUCUGAAAAAAUAAAUGAGGAUAUUGUGAAUCUUGCAUGUGAUGAAGAUGAAGCUAAGGAUCUAAGUAUUAUGGGGAAGGUUUUCAGUACACCUAAGGAUGCAUAUACAUUUUAUAACCAAUAUGCCUUUUUACAUGGAUUCGGUAUUCGUGUUCAUUGGAGCUUUAAAAAUAAAACCACAAAUGAGCCUUAUCGGAAGAGCUAUGUGUGUAAUAAACAAGGCUUUAAAAGUUUGAAGGGUAAUAGUUUAUGUGGAGUUGCUAAGAAACGUCGUAGAAAUUUGAGGACUGGAUGUAAAGCAAUGCUCCGGAUAUCAAAAGGAAAAGAUGGUGAAUGGUUUGUCGAUGUGCUUAACGACACACACAAUCACAAUUUGAGUACAACUCCUACCAAAGUAAUGAAACAUCGUUCUCAUGAAUAAUACACCGCUCAAUGGCAUGCAAGUCUCUUAUGGUGGAACUAGGUCAAUCAGGGUUAAGGCCUUGUCAAAUCAAAAGGCUGUAAAUACAAUGAAAACUCCAUAUGAUGCCGAUGUUACCUCAAAGCAAUGUGCUGAUGUUUUAUCAGAGCAACGAAAACAAUAUAAAGGUAAAGAGUUCUAUGGGUUGAUCAAACAUUUUCAAGAUAAAUCAUUAAUAGACAGUAACUAGUAUUUUGCUAUGGAUUUGUUUGAUGACUGGUCUCCAAAAAAUGUUUUUUUGGGCUGAUGGAAGAUCACGAGAGGCAUAUACUAAAUUUGGGGACGUCGUUGUGUUUGAUGUCACAUACAUGACCAACAAAUUUAAGAUGCCAUUUUCUCCAUUUAUUGGUGUGAACCAUCAUGGUCAGUUUAUAUUGUUUGGUGGUACAUUGUUAGAAAAUGAAAAAGAAGAAACUUUUCGAUGGCUAUUUGAGCAUUUCUUAAACUGCAUGUUUCGCAAGUAUUCGGUGGCAAUGAUAACAGACCAGGAUAAAGCUAUGGGUAAUGCAAUCAAGAAAGUGUUUCCAAACACCCGUCAUCGCUAUUGUGCAUGGCACAUUAAGAAGCAUGAAUUAGAACAUCUUCGGCCACUUAUAGCCCGUUAUAGUGAUUUUAAAGAAUCUUAUAGACAGUGGGUAAAGAGUGAUACAACCGAAGAAUUUGAAACCAAUUGGGAAGUUUUACGUGGUAAGUAUAACAUCGAAACUAACAGUUGGAUAACCGAUAUGUAUAACCAACGAAUACACUGGGCCAAAGCUUUCUUGAAAGAUGUUUUCUUUGCUGGUAUGACUAUGAGUGGAAGAAGCGAUAGCAUUCAUUCAUUUUUUGAUGGAUUUGUUAAUUCCAAGACCAUGUUGAAUGAAUUUGUACUCCAAUAUAAUAAAGCAGUUGACUCUCGAAGGGCCGCCGAAGAAGAUGAAGACUUUAAGACCAUGAACUCCAGUCCAAUCCUUUCUUCUGUUCAUCCGAUAGAAGCAAAAGCAGGCCAGUUUUAUACGAGAAAUUUUUUUGAGGUAUUCAAAAAAGAAUGGAUAGAAGCUAAUUGUAAUUUAACUCAUGAGACUUUAAGUAAAACCACAAAAGAAAUCAAAUAUAGGGUUGGGAAAAUGGAUAUUGAUAAAAGACAUUGGAGAAUUGUUAUCUUUCAUUUUAUGGAUCAUGUGAAUGUCACGUGUUCAUGUGCUAAGUAUGAAACAUAUGGAAUAUUAUGUAAGCAUAGCCUUUACGUGAUGAAGAAAAGACAUGUUGAAAAUCUUCCUGAUCACUAUAUUUUACCAAGGUGGAAACUUAGCGCUAGGUAUAAGGUGGGUACUGAAAGCAUUGGACUCGAAGAUGUGAAUUGUGAAAAUGGAGUUAGUGCCUUAACUUUAUGGUGUGUUCGUUCAAAUUGUGAUAAAGCAAUCGAACAAGCAAGUGACUCCCUUACAGAGAUAGAAAAAUUCAAUAGUUUCGUGAUAAAGUUUUUAGAAGAUCAAAAGAUUCGGAAAAAGCCUAAAGCAUUUGAGAAUGUGUCUCAAGAUCGUUACAUGGGAAUUUCUCAAGUAAAUAUAAUGCCUCAAUUAUCUGUAUCUGUCCGGGAUCCUAUUGCUCCGACAAAUACGAAAGGGCGUCCUAAAAAUGCAACUAGAAUUAAGUCUUCUUUACAGAACGUGAAGAAAAAGAGAACAUGUUCUUACUGCCAAGGACUAGGUCAUUACGCCACUGGUUGUCCAAAAAGAAAGGUAAUUGUAAUAUUUAUUUGAUUAUUCAUGAUUUCAUUGCGUCCUACUUAUAUUAAUUAUUAUCAGGUGGAUGAAUCUGUAGCAGAAAAACAGUGAUGAAAUUGUGUAAUCAAGUGGAUGGGUUCUUUUUGUUGACUUCAUGUGUUGCUUGUUGAUGCUGGGAGGAUGUUGUGCAUCUUGUGUUUGGUUUUUGCUCAUUAUAGAUGCAUCAGUUUACAUCAUACACCAUUAUUUUUUUCCUUAGAGAGAGCUUACAAAAAUUUUUGGUUAAUUUAUGCAACUUUAAUAUCUAUAUUAAUCCAUUGAAAGCUUUUAGAAACAUGAAAUAUUAAUGAAUGAAUGCAACUGGGAUUUCGUUUAAUGGUUUUUAUCUCUUGAUGUAAAUAUAGAUUAAAUUAUUAGAGUUAAUGUAUGUGAUUGUUUCUUAGAUGAUGGUUUUUUUAACUUUAUAAAUGCUUACAAAAGUUACUUUCAAAGUCACCUUAUGACAUUUGAACGUAUUUAUUAGUAAUUUUAAUAAUAUUUAAAGAAUAAAUUUGUAGGGAUAUGUUGCUACAGUAAUAUCAUACUUUAAUAAAUUGACAAAACUAUGAAACUGGAAUAUUUGAAUAUAUAUAUCAAAAUUCAUACAAGUAAGAAUGUUAUAACAAUUUACAUAACAAAUAAUGUGGUCUUUGUUAUCAGAACUAAAUACAAUAUUCUGAGCUAACUGUCCCAAAAAAUAAAAUAUUUUCAGUUUAUAGAUUUACAAUUAAAACACCUAAGAAAAUUAACAAGAGAAGAAACAUCUUAAAAAUUGGUUUAUACAAUCCCCCAAACGAAAAGAACUCAACUUAGAAAUGACCAACUAAAAGAUAGAAUUUAGCAAAUGGUUUAAAGUUCUAAAAAUCCACGCUAAAAAAUAAUAAUCCACCAACUAAAAAAAUUCAAAGUAGCCAAAAUUGGGUUGCUAUGAGUUGGUACUCUGACGAUCAGUUGCUAGCUUCAGUUGUUGGUCUUUCAUAGUCUAAUCUUUGUCCAUUCUUCUUGUAGCUGGCCAUUUGUCAAACAUCCUAAAUUCUUGCAUAAUCUUCCGUCCAGAAGCAUCCUUAACUGUCAUAGAAAUUGGAAAAGUUUUAAAUAGCAUAUACACACAGCUAACAGAUUGAAAUAUACAUUGCAAACUUUUAACCUUCAUGUUUUUGUGGCUUAUUUCUUUUAAGAGAUGGAUAAAUUCAACUAAAUGCACCUUACAUAAAUAAUAAACUUUUAUAUUAUGUAUUUUUAGUGGCUUAAUUCAUUUAGACAUUACAUCAAACACCUAUUGAGCAUUUCGAUAAGCAAGAACUAUGAGACAUAUAUUGUCACUUGACUUCUUCCUGUGUACAAGUCAUUCAAUCUAAUACAACUUUUAUAUAAUUUAAAUAAAAAUUUGACAUGCUAUUGCAAAUUUUUGCAACAUAUUCAAACCACAACUAAGUUAAUUUACCAUAAUAUAUUAUUAUAUUACCCACUGGAACAUGAAAAACAAAGUUCAAAUCAAGAAAUGGAUUGGGGACCUGCGUCUUAUCUUUCAACAUCCAAAAUCCUAGAAUCGGAACAAGGGAAGGAAGAAAGAUACGAUGAAAAUGUUCACCUUCAGGGGGGACCGACUAAGCGGAAAUAGAAGUCAAAUUGAAAAUGAAGGAAUCGAAUAUAAGAUUUAAUUUGCUUAUAUAAGAUAGCAAUUGGGGAGCAAUACGAAGAAAAUGGGAGAAGCUAAACCUGUAAUUAUUUUGUCCCCAACCCAUAUGGUUCUUAAGGAAGAAUAGGAGAAUUAAGAGCCAAAUGAUGAUAGCAAGGACGAAAUAGAUAGAAAAGACAUAAACAUAGAUAAUCAGUAAUAAAAAAAUUGAUAAUUAAUGAAAAAUUAGGGCUCAAGUAGAAAACAAGGAAUUCAUGCGAUGGGUUAAUAAUUUAAAGCAAAACGACAGCGUUAUGAAGGUUCCACACCUAAGGUUGCAUGUAUUACAGCCUCAUACUCACUUUUCCCUAUAUAUAUAAUAAAAUAAUAGUUUCAAAAUAAGCCGGAAAGCCUGAUGGUUUUUCUCAACUAUUUCAAUUUGAGUUUUCAGCAUCGAUGGAGAAGAAAGAGAAAAGAGUUGGAUGGAGCCAUUGAAGGAAUUCCAGAAUCGAUGGAGAAGAAAGAAAAAAGAGAGAAGGUUAAUUGGAUGAUAUAUGGAAUUGUAAAAAAAUCAACCACACGAUUUGUGGAGGAUUGGUAUUCAUUAUAAAGUAAAGAAUACAACACUAAUUAGGAUGAUUACACAAAAUAAGGUUGUACGCAAUCUUUGACUAAAAAUACAAAUAUUCAUCUAAUAAGAUCCUGCAUGAUUCUACUAAGUGUUUAAAUGCAUGGCAACGAAAAACGAAAAAGCAUCGAGUCUUCACUUCUUUAAAUUAUGCUUAUGACGGAUAGAUAUGUCAAAAAGUCAUAUGAAACCCCGUUCUCAUGGGCGUAAACCGUAGGGUACGCUUUUCACGAUUACUAUUUAUAAUAGCUCUUCUUGUUCUUUGGCGUAAACGAAAAGUUGCAUUUUGCAACAAAAGGUUUGUUGUUACUACAAAUGUGGAAAAAAUAUUGUGUUGCGUUGGUUUGCCCAAAUGGUCCGACAAUGAGUUCUCUGAAGAUGACAAUUUUGAGAGUAGACCAUAAUAAAACGAAAUGUGUUGAAUCAUGAUAAUAGAAACGGUAUUUGCAUGUUUGGUUGUGUUUGUUUAUUUUUUGUUUUGUGUAGAAUUUGUGCAUGUUAAAAAAUAUAAAUAAAACAUAACAUUUUUAAUGAGUUAACAAGCUAGAUUUAAAAAUUAAAAUAGCAAAAUAUAAAAUUGUUUUAUAAACAAAUUUUAAAAUUGGUUUAAAAACAUUUUUUUUUUUUUUUUCUGAAAGUCAAAAGUUAAAAUGUUUUAACUAAGAAAACAAAAACCUAUUUUCAAAAUAGAGGAAAUGACACAAAUGUCCUACAAAGUUUUUAAGGUUGGUCGAUUCACUCCCUAAAGUUUUUGUCGAGCUUUAUGGGUUCCUAAACUAGGAUAUGACAUACUCUUUUAGUCUUUGUCAACCUGUAAUAGCUGAUUCACCAUGCGACAAUGACCAUUUACACCAAAAAAAAAACUCACAUUGUGCCCAUAUAAAAACCAAAAAAAAAAAGUUUGGGGAUCAAAUGUUAGUUUCACUUUCAUCUCCACCCAACACCACCCUUAUUCCACCUUCCUCACAACCUCCUCCGUUAACUUGUCAUGCUACCUAAACCAACUACUCAUCAACAAUUUAUUGAGCUAUUACAGCCACAAUAACACACCUUAAUCACCAUCGAAUCAGUAUCACAACAGCCCAAUCCAACCACCCUUAUUUUUCCCUUUGUCUCGUGAAAUCAGCCACCACCAGAGUACUCGUAACCCGCAAAAACCACCAGUUAGCCACCAUGACUAUCACCUGCAAAUUGAAGAAAAAAAUAUUAACUCUCGUCUUCUCUGUGAACCUCAUCAAACCUACGCAUCCUUCUCAACCUCGCAUCCAUCAAAUAUGCAACUCCGAGGGAGAAGGAGAGGUAGCUUGUGCGAUUUUGAAAAUAAAAGAAGGAAGGAAGUGGACAAUUCUUUGAAGAGAUGAAAUUGAUCAAAUAAAAGAGUAGAAGGGGGUUGUCAUCGAGAAUCGAUUAGAAAGAGAAGAGGGUUGUGAACUUUGGUGAGUGUGUAUGUCAAUCGAGGAUGAAGACGGAAAAAAGAGCAGUGAUCGAUUUCUUAGGAAUGUACAAAUUAAGUGUGAAUUGCCUUUGAAGAAAAGAAGGAAAGCUAAGAAUGUCAAUUUUUGUUGUUGGAUGUUGGUAUACACGAAGACACACAAGAAAUCAAAUAGGCUGCUAUCUUUCAUUCUUCUCCCAAAUCACUUCGAUCUUUUGGCAUAAGCAUUUGAUCCUCAAACUUAUUUAUUUGGCUUUAUAGGGGCACCAUGUGAGUUUUUGGUCUAAACGGUCGCUGUCACAUGGUGAACAGGCUAUUACAAGUUGACAACGACUAAAAGAGCAGGUCAUAUCCUAGUUUAUGGACCUAUAAAACCCGACAAAAUCUUUAGGGGCGAAUAAACCAACCCUAGAAAAUUUGAAGGGAUUUGUGUCAUUUGACCUUCAAAAUAUGAACCUCAUGUUAAUCAUCAUCAAACACACACUUUGAGAUAAUAAUCUUUCGAUGUAGGAAAGUUCAUACACCAAACACGUCAACUAGUCAUUAGGGAUAGUGAUAUGGUGUCCGUGAUACCUAAUAGUUUUGAGCCAGAUAAACAUGUUUCUUUAUUGUCGAUUUACUAUAUAGGUUUAUGAUCCACUGCCAUACAUGUCAUAAGAAAGUUUAAGUGUGGAAGGAUUAAACAUGUCAAAUGACAUAAUAAAUGUGAUGAGCUUUGCAAGUACCAAAAAGUUUGGUUGAGAUUAAAAUUGGUAACAUGAACACCUGUCUAAAUUUGAAAAACGAGAGGUUUCUGUCACUCAGACGUUUGUUCAUUCUGGUACAAGAAGAGUUAUAAAAACUCAAAAUGAUUAUAACAAACUUAUUCUCAAAGUUAAAGAUGUCCCACAUAACGAAAAAGACAAGUUGAUCAGCAAUGUAAAGGCGAUGAGGAUAAUCAGAUUCGUUUUGCCUCCAGACACCUUUCGUCUAGUGAGUGCCUGUGAGACUGCAAAAGAGAAGUCUACUUCUUUGCUGGCUUGACUCCAGAACUAGUAGAGGAAGGAAGCGAUGAUCGGUCUAUCCCAUUAAGCGUAAUCCCGCUAGCCAAUGAAAGGACUACUCUUCUUGGACUGUGAGCGACGACACCAGAUCAGAGCUAAGUGAGAGACGAUAAAUGCGAUUAAACUGCUUUAUAACUGCUCGAUUUAUAAGUCUUGCCUAAGUCCUAGACUUGAAUGAAGCAGCCUGGCUGAAAGUCGUAUUUGCUUUUGCUUUUCUUGUUCUCUUUUCUUAGUUAGGCCCAAGAAAGUACAAGAUAUAGCUUGACUAAUAUACUAAGAUGAUAGCUAGAGACUAGAGAUGAGAGUGCAGGAUCUAGAUUUGUAACAAAUAUUCGACUUUGCUUAUGCAAAUUGUUAUGUACCAAAACCAAAGAAUAUCGUCGAUGGGAUACAAAAAAAGAGGAUCCUACUUCGCUCAUGCACCGUCUUUUCACCCUCCUACCGCUGGUAAAGCUAGCAGUCUAAUAAAAUUUCUGCAUGUUAAGACAGCACACUAGUACAUUUUCAUUGACCACUGAGACCAACCCCCAAGCCCGGUCUUUGAACUAAUAAAGAUGGCAUAGUAGAAAACUUCAGACUGACUAUCAUCGCGCUUGAAGUCCACCCAAGAGAGUUCCCCGGCUUCUCGUGAUGAGCGCAGCGCAGCAAACGGUGUUUGCGCCAGAGGAGGGUGGUGAGAACCGUUGAGCCAUUGGCUUGCUGAGCUUUUCUGAUUUGGGUUUCUCACCCACAUCACCGAGAGGAGGGCUUUUUUCGUUAUAGAAAAGAAAGGUCAAUGAAAGGAUUCAGUAAUGACGCCAUGCAUCACCAUUGAGUGCUGUGCUGAAGAGAAAAAAACCGAAAAAAGUUCCCCACAUUGGGAGAGAAAAGAGAAGACUGCGGUCAAUGAUCAAUUGUGCACAUCCUUUUUGGAUGGUCGGCUUAGAGUGAAAGCAUACGAACAUAGACUUUGUGACUGACUUCGCCGUAUAAGCAUAUCUUCACUGAAAGUCAUUAGGGCUGCUUUUGCCCAUGCCAUGAAUGAGAGUGAGUCCAGUCCAUCUUCCUUCCCUGGAUAUGCUGUGUCCUCUACAUUCGCUUCGUCCUCCGCCUCUACUGCGCAAAGAUUUUGAUCCCCCGUUUAGUGAGUCGUGAAAGCACCUACCUUAUGUUUAGACGUAUUGGUUUCAGUGAAAAGCCAAAUAGAGAGUUUUGCGUGUGCCUGCUUUAGUAAGAGUAAGGAAAAAGCUUGAAAAGCGUACUUGCUUUAACAACGGAAAGAGGUUCCUUCAGCGGUUCAACUUUAGGUCUCGGUUCAGGUGCUUUUCAUGAUUGUGGUGUUUGAUUGGGCACGGGCGUUCCUGUCCUUACUUAGAGGUCAAGUUGCCACCUGUCUAUCGAAGGGGGAUUUCCCAGCCUAUCUCGGUAUAUGUUACCGAAAGAAGGAAGAAGAAUCUAAUGAUUUCCCUAAUUCUGUGAGAAAGAAAAACCAGUUUGUUAGAGCUGGGGCAGAGAAGCAAUCAACAGAAUGGGUCCCUGUUGUUCACAAGUGAAGGCACUGAACGGAUCAAGAUCUCGUAAAUUCAUUGUCUUUCUUGAUUCAAAUCAGAAAGAACUUCUUUCGCUAUUGAAGCCAUGCCUGAGCUGUCAGCUUAUUAGCAUCCCUCUUCUGCGUUAGGAAUUGUCCGAAAAGGUUCGAUUGAAUCCCAUGCUUUCAUGGUCCCUAUCUCUGCCCCGGCACUGGCCGACACGUAGGUCUAUUCCGCGCUUUCCUAGGUGCGCAUCUCCAUCUACUAAAAGUAGGGGUGGUUGCCAUAGAUAGAUUGGGUCAUUCGUAACCAGAGCAAUAACCGAUGCUACAGCAUAAACUAAAGCUAUACGUGGCGGCCCCUAAAGGCGUAACUGACAGGUUCUGUUUUAUCUGCCCAUCCGAGUCAUCCCGUACUCCAAAAAAGCAGAGGUGAGGUCCGGAGAGUGGGACGGAUCUACCUGGCCAAGGUGCCAAUGUCAAGUGGUUAUCCGAAGUGUUGGAAUAUGCUCUACCUACGGUACCUAACUAGUCUUUCUUUUCGGUAAGUAAGAAUACAUUGACCGAUGGAGGAGAACCCCCGAAGUAAACAUAAAUGAAGGGGCAUACCCCACCCCAGGCAACCAAACAAAGAACUCAAGACACUCCCCGAGCUCUAAAAUAAAGAAACUAACCUAUGGAAAAAAUUAUUGAAAUUAGAUUACGAUUACAAAGGCUAAAAAUAAUCCAAGUUUCUACGUAAUCAAAAAGAGCCUAAGGAUUAACCGAAACUAAGCACAUACUAAGCCCAAUAAGACACAUUGGCCUAGAUAUACAUGAGGCCAACUGAAAAACAGGUAUACACAUCAAAUAAACUAGGAUGAAACAUAGGAUUCGGUGGAUGAUUCGGCAUCCUUUAUUAAUUGCGUAUAUAACGGUAGCCCUUCCUAAAUAGUUUUUGAGUAGGCUAGGAAAGAAAGAAGAAAUGAUAGAGCGAAAUGGGUUGGUUGCCCAAAGGGCUAUCUGAUCUGAUCAUGGGGGGAUAGCACAAGGGCUUAAGGCAUUGGUUUGCUAAAUCGACAUACAAGAAGAUUGCAUCAUGCAUGGGUUCGAAUCCCAUUUCUUCCAGUCUUUUCCUACUGAACACUUUCCUGCUCAAGAUAGGGUACUAGAAAGGGAUCAUACGAAGGCUAUGUUCUUUUUUUAGAUCUAGCCUGAAUGACUCCUAAACUAAAGGUUUUCAUUAUAUCUAAAGUGUGCAGUGAGGGAUCUUUAUAUUAUAGGUAGCCAGUCUUUACUUCACUCGACCCAAGCAAUGCCCAAAGAGUCCCAUGCCUUUCUUGGUCGGACCAAGCCAACUGGCGAUUUCCGACAAGUCUUUCCUAAUUUUUAGAGCAAGAAGCGGAACUACAGGNNNN